AGUUCGAUCAUGGCUCAGAUUGAACGCUGGCGGGAUGCUUUACACAUGCAAGUCAGGCGGCAGCACGGACUUCGGUCUGGUGGCGAGUGGCGAACGGGUGAGUAAUGUAUCGGAACGUGCCUAGUAGCGGGGGAUAACUACGCGAAAGCGUAGCUAAUACCGCAUACGCCCUUCGGGGAAAGCGGGGGACAACUUCGGGCCUCGCACUAUUAGAGCGGCCGAUAUCGGAUUAGCUAGUUGGUGGGGUAACGGCUCACCAAGGCGACGAUCCGUAGCUGGUUUGAGGACGACCAGCCACACUGGGACUGAGACACGGCCCAGACUCCUACGGGAGGCAGCAGUGGGGAAUUUUGGACAAUGGGGGAAACCUGAUCAGCCAUCCCGCGUGUGCGAUGAAGGCCUUCGGGUUGUAAGCACUUGCC
This 422-nucleotide unclassified non-coding RNA is filed under the name uncultured Bordetella sp. RNAcentral describes it as "partial 16S-23S ribosomal RNA intergenic spacer". It matches the Rfam family "Bacterial small subunit ribosomal RNA", at positions 10 to 438 of the family's 1533-position model. The record is from RNAcentral. Lineage: Bacteria; Pseudomonadati; Pseudomonadota; Betaproteobacteria; Burkholderiales; Alcaligenaceae.